Molecule: unclassified non-coding RNA, 364 nt
Filed under: Hevea brasiliensis (rubber tree)
Lineage: Eukaryota; Viridiplantae; Streptophyta; Magnoliopsida; Malpighiales; Euphorbiaceae
Source: RNAcentral
AGAGCUUUAUGCUGAGAUGACUCAGCUUCUUACAUUCGAUAACUUCAGAGAACAUCCUUCACUUGCUUUAUAUGGAGACACAUUAACUGCUAGGAACCGCAUAAUGAAGAUACUUAGGGUUGUCAUUGAAACAAACCCCCAGUUAAAUGGAAAACUCCACUUUCCAGAAUUAACCAAGUCAAGAUUGCGCCGUCUAAUUAAUCAAAGCUUGAACUGGCAGCAUGCUCAUUGUGCAAAUCCUCAGCAAGAACCGGAGAUCAAAACACUCUUCAUUGAUCACAAGUGUUCCAUACCUGAAGAUCAAUCGAUUAUGCAAAGGCCAGGGCCUACCCAAACCAUAUCGGCUGCAACCCCAGAUCAUUUG